GUGACGUCGUUCGGCACAAUCUAGCCCAACGGCGUCGCUCUUGCUUUGCACGGACAAACGAAACUUCGUCCCGUCCUCUCUCCAUUGCAUAUUGUCAUCUCGGUCCUGAAACCAGAUCUCUUUCUGUGCCUGUGCAUCUGUGAGCAAUGGAUUUUCAUAUACGCAGCGUUUUCGGUCUGCUUAUCGUCUCUUCUAUUCUCUGCUCGCUAGCUAGGGCUGAAACCAGUGGUUCAGUUUUCUUCAUCGAUGGCCAAAAUCGCCAAUAUGUUCGUACUCCAUCAGCAAACGAUGUCGUUCAGUCUCACUUAAUGUCGCCGCUGGAACUGGGUGCUGCUGUGUCUGUAUUGCUUGGUUUUGCACCACCUGCUACACUUUCAGCUGCUGGUUCAUCUAAGUU
RNAcentral lists this unclassified non-coding RNA (397 nucleotides) under Hevea brasiliensis (rubber tree). Lineage: Eukaryota; Viridiplantae; Streptophyta; Magnoliopsida; Malpighiales; Euphorbiaceae. The record is from RNAcentral.